UGGGGAAUAUUGGACAAUGGGCGAAAGCCUGAUCCAGCCACGCCGCGUGUGUGAUGAAGGCCUUCGGGUCGUAAAGCACUGUGGAGGGGGAAGAACAGGUAGCGGGAACAAUACCCCGCUGCACUGACGGUACCCCUUUAGCAAGCACCGGCUAACUCCGUGCCAGCAGCCGCGGUAAUACGGAGGGUGCAAACGUUGCUCGGAAUCAUUGGGCGUAAAGCGCGUGUAGGCGGCGCGUUAAGUCGAGUGUGAAAGCCCUGGGCUCAACCCAGGAAGUGCGCUCGAUACUGGCGUGCUUGAGUACGGGAGAGGGUAGCGGAAUUCCCGGUGUAGAGGUGAAAUUCGUAGAUAUCGGGAGGAACACCAGUGGCGAAGGCGGCUACCUGGACCGAUACUGACGCUGAGACGCGAAAGCGUGGGUAGCAAACAGG
RNAcentral lists this ribosomal RNA (431 nucleotides) under uncultured Myxococcales bacterium. Its description in RNAcentral is "bacterial SSU rRNA". It matches the Rfam family "Bacterial small subunit ribosomal RNA", at positions 355 to 776 of the family's 1533-position model. Lineage: Bacteria; Pseudomonadati; Myxococcota; Myxococcia; Myxococcales. The record is from RNAcentral.